UUCCUCGGGAUUCCCCGGGAGAGUUACUUCCAGACCCGGCCGCUGGAGCAUCAGGGCGGGGCCCCUCAUCACCACUGGGCUCCUUGGGGCAGUGAGCUCUGCCUAGGCUCUGGUCCCCGCGGCCAUGUGUUUGGCUGAUGAACUGUGGUUUAUCCCCAGGUCGUGAUGGAGCUCGAAGAAGACCUUAACGGAAGAGCAGACAAGAACUUCUCAAAGAUGGGCAAAAAGAGUAAAAAGGAGAAGAAAGAAAAGAAACCAGCGGUCAGUGUGCUCACAAUGUUUCGCUAUGCAGGUUGGCUGGACAGAUUUUACAUGCUGCUGGGAACUCUGGCGGCCAUUAUCCAUGGAAUUGCGCUCCCACUUAUGAUGCUGGUCUUUGGAGACAUGACAGAUAGCUUUGCAAAUGUAGGAAACAACCGUAGUAUGAGUUUCUACAAUGCUACAGACAUAUAUGCCAA
This 458-nucleotide long non-coding RNA is filed under the name Rattus norvegicus (Norway rat). Its description in RNAcentral is "long non-coding RNA NONRATT021171". Lineage: Eukaryota; Metazoa; Chordata; Mammalia; Rodentia; Muridae. The record is from RNAcentral.